UUUUCUUUUUAUUCUAGAUGGAAGAGUUCUUUUGUCAAUUUGAUACUGACCAAAAAGCAGAAUUUAUGGAAAUAUAACACAACAGUCUCAGGAGAUAGCUGGAGGAGGGUGUGUUGCUGUGAUCUGACAUUUCAUACUGCAGCAUCAGAGAGCUCCUGGAGGACAUGAAUGUCCUGGGCACCAAAGCCCACAUCUCGCCCUCCCACACGAGUGCCUAUCAGCAGGCUGAAGGCCCUUCCUGGGGAGGAGCACUCUCACUUCCAGCCACUUGUCACGAAGAUUUUGUAUCAUGUCAGAGGCAGAAGAUUCACCAUGCCCAUGGGAGCCUACCCCUCCAUCUUGCCUCCCACAUACACCUAAUUUCCUCUGAGAGGGGUGUGAAUAUAUUUUACAGUUUAUUAUUUCAAAUCUACAGCUACAAUCAGCGUUCAAGCAGCAUUUUUCUGAUCAGAAUACUGCAAAGAGCCUCUU
Molecule: long non-coding RNA, 471 nt
Filed under: Cyanistes caeruleus (blue tit)
Lineage: Eukaryota; Metazoa; Chordata; Aves; Passeriformes; Paridae
Description: lncRNA (ENSCCEG00000018254.1)
Source: RNAcentral